Molecule: ribosomal RNA, 1480 nt
Filed under: metagenome
Description: bacterial SSU rRNA
Rfam family: Bacterial small subunit ribosomal RNA
Source: RNAcentral
AGAGUUUGAUCCUGGCUCAGGAUGAACGCUAGCGACAGGCCUAACACAUGCAAGUCGAGGGGUAACAUGAGUGCUUGCACUUGAUGACGGCCGGCGCACGGGUGCGUAACGCGUAUGCAACUUACCUUGUACUGGGGAAUAGCCCGUGGAAACGCGGAUUAAUGUCCCAUAACACUACAAUUUCGCAUGGAAAAGUGGUUAAAGUUCCGACGGUACAAGAUGGGCAUGCGUGACAUUAGCUAGUUGGUGAGGUAAGGGCUCACCAAGGCGACGAUGUCUAGGGGUUCUGAGAGGAAGGUCCCCCACACUGGUACUGAGACACGGACCAGACUCCUACGGGAGGCAGCAGUGAGGAAUAUUGGUCAAUGGGCGCAAGCCUGAACCAGCCAUGUCGCGUGCAGGAAGACUGCCCUACGGGUUGUAAACUGCUUUUGUAUGGGAAGAAACGUUGGUACGUGUACCAAUUUGCCGGUACCAUACGAAUAAGGAUCAGCUAACUCCGUGCCAGCAGCCGCGGUAAUACGGAGGAUCCAAGCGUUAUCCGGAUUUAUUGGGUUUAAAGGGUGCGUAGGCGGUAGAAUAAGUCAGUGGUGAAAUCCUGCAGCCUAACUGUAGAACUGCCAUUGAUACUGUUUUACUUGAGUGUAAUUGAGGUAGGCGGAAUGUGUUGUGUAGCGGUGAAAUGCAUAGAUAUAACACAGAACACCGAUUGCGAAGGCAGCUUACUAAGUUAUAACUGACGCUGAUGCACGAAAGCGUGGGUAGCGAACAGGAUUAGAUACCCUGGUAGUCCACGCCGUAAACGAUGAUUACUCGCUGUAGGCAAUACACCGUCUGUGGCUGAGCGAAAGCAUUAAGUAAUCCACCUGGGGAGUACGUUGGCAACAAUGAAACUCAAAGGAAUUGACGGGGGCCCGCACAAGCGGAGGAACAUGUGGUUUAAUUCGAUGAUACGCGAGGAACCUUACCUGGACUUAAAUGUAGAUUGACGUAUCCAGAGAUGGAUAUUUCUUCGGACAAUUUACAAGGUGCUGCAUGGUUGUCGUCAGCUCGUGCCGUGAGGUGUCGGGUUAAGUCCCAUAACGAGCGCAACCCCUGUUGUUAGUUACCAGCACAUCAUGGUGGGGACUCCAACAAGACUGCCGGUGUAAACCGCGAGGAAGGUGGGGAUGACGUCAAAUCAGCACGGCCCUUACGUCCAGGGCUACACACGUGUUACAAUGGCCGGUACAGAGGGCAGCUACUUGGUGACAAGAUGCGAAUCUCAAAAACCGGUCUCAGUUCCGAUCGAAGUCUGCAACCCGACUUCGUGAAGCUGGAUUCGCUAGUAAUCGCAUAUCAGCCAUGAUGCGGUGAAUACGUUCCCGGGCCUUGUACACACCGCCCGUCAAACCAUGGAAGUCGAGGGUACCUGAAGUCUGUUACCGUAUGGAGCGGCCUAGGGUAAAACUGAUAACUAGGGUUAAGUCGUAACAAGGUA